This 616-nucleotide long non-coding RNA is filed under the name Androctonus crassicauda. Lineage: Eukaryota; Metazoa; Arthropoda; Arachnida; Scorpiones; Buthidae. The record is from RNAcentral.
CUACAAAUUUCUGAAAUUACUUUAAUGCAAAGUAUUUUGCACUGUAUUCAAUGCAAUUUAAAACAAAACUGCAUAUCAUAAAUUUGCCUAUUUCUUCAGCUGCAAAGAAUCAUCAAGACAAAAUCCUUAUUGGAUCUGAAAUAAAUAUGUUUAUUGACAGUAUUCUUCUGAAGUGUCUUGCUAGGAUAAAGUGGAGAGAGGAAUGGGAAGAUGCAAAUUUGAAGCAAAUUAUAUGCAAGGAAUUUUUUUGCAACAUUAGACAUCGAAGGAUAGAGACAAUAAGAGUGAAACAUUGGAAUUCAAAGCAAAAAAGAUGGUAAAGAUAUCAGAGAGAACUAGUGCAAAAGUUGAAUAGUUGACCACUCUGACCACUGUUAGAUAAAAUUUAAGAUCAUCUACUACAGCACAGUCAAUCUUAGGUACUGCAGCAGAUGGUCUUAAAUCUUACUUAACACUAUGCUAUUUCUGAAAAAUCAAUUCCAUCAAAAGCAUUUCAAAUGUAAAAAAUGUAGCCAAGUCUUGUGCCUCUUUAUCUGUAAAAAGUUGUGAGAUACCAUGAGAGCUAAGUCUAGCACCCUUAUUUGCUCAGACACUUUUAUUCACAAAUCACUCCAAG